This 301-nucleotide ribosomal RNA is filed under the name uncultured bacterium. RNAcentral's name for it is "bacterial SSU rRNA". It matches the Rfam family "Bacterial small subunit ribosomal RNA", at positions 334 to 633 of the family's 1533-position model. The record is from RNAcentral.
UAUGCCUACGGGGCGCAGCAGUGAGGAAUAUUGGUCAAUGGUCGGGAGACUGAACCAGCCAAGCCGCGUGAGGGAUGAAGGUACAGAGUAUCGUAAACCUCUUUUGUCAGGGAACAAAGGCGGGGACGCGUCCCCGGAUGAGUGUACCUGAAGAAAAAGCAUCGGCUAACUCCGUGCCAGCAGCCGCGGUAAUACGGAGGAUGCGAGCGUUAUCCGGAUUUAUUGGGUUUAAAGGGUGCGUAGGCGGGCUGUUAAGUCAGCGGUCAAAUGUCGGGGCUCAACCCCGGCCUGCCGUUGAAAC